Grus americana (Whooping crane) is the source of this 492-nucleotide long non-coding RNA. RefSeq lists it as uncharacterized. NCBI's taxonomy places the organism in Eukaryota, Metazoa, Chordata, Aves, Gruiformes, Gruidae. The record is from RefSeq and is a predicted model, not a curated record. The transcript is spliced from 3 exons.
UGAACCGAGGGAAGAGUCCUGAGGCUUUGUCUGCAACCGGUAUCACAGCUCAUGGAACCGCAUUCCUUUCUACAGAGCGCCCAGGAGAUAAAAAGUCUUACGCAAAGUGGGAGAGGGAAUAAGUGAAAAAUUCACAUGCCUCCGGAUGUGAUGGCCAAAAAAAAAGGACUUUGAAAACUACUUGCAAUUGAACCGAGACUGGGCUGACGUACGCUGCAUUUCCAGGCAUUUGUGGGAUACAACCGUCUGAGUCUCAUCCUACGGAGGAGAAUCCAGUAUCAUCAAGAGGAGAAGAAACCAGUAAAGCCACAGGAAGCCACAUCCCAAGCAGGUGCAGAUCGAUGCAGUUCACCAAGGAUAAUGGAUUUACAUGGGCUAGGACCUGAUCCGGAAAAAAGAAAAAUGCCGUCUCUCUGUGCCAGGCACAAAGCGUUGGGUUAAGAACUGGAGAACUGGUUUUGAAAGGGCAGAUCAAACCAAAGCAGACGCGAA